UUGGAAUUAUCACUUCAUACUGAAACAAGGGUUUGAUCUUUUCAUGAGAUGUAUGGUGAUGAAAUUAAGGCCAGGGGCUCUGGGGACAGAAGAGAAGGCUGGCGCCACUCGUAUGCCCUGGAGAAACAGUGAGAUGAAGAGCACAGCCUCUAGAGCCAGAGUGUCUGGAUCUAAAAUUGGCUCUUUUAAAUUUCAGAAUUGAAAAUUAAGAAUGCCAUGUAAAGCAAGGUGAAAAAGGCAGGGGUGUACACAUCAAUCCCAGAUCCAGGGAGCCAACAUCUUUAAGUAGACUUCUUCAGAUGGCCUGUGGGGUACCACAGAGCUUACAGAACAACUUAAGAUCGUCUAACCCCAGGUAACUUCACAAGUUGUUAGAAACCAUCCUUCAAAGAUCUGCCUCUUUCCUUCUGCGUGGCAGCUGGAGACUCCUGCUUGGUCCUAAUCAGUGCAGGAUCAACAACAGAAAUCCGCAAAUGUCAGUCAUUUUUCUGUUUUCACUACCCAGUUGUUUUCUCUUGAGUUUAACUGCCUGAAUUUUAGUGUCUGUGAUAAGCACUCAGGGGUAAUAUCAUACACCUCUGGAAGCCCUCUACUGAUUGUGGGCUAUGAUCUGCAAGUGAUGAAAGCAGGAUUUGGCCAAUUAGGAGUACAAGAAUUUCUUGGCACUGCCAGAGCUUCACAGAAGAUGUGUGCUGUGCACAUUCCCAUGGAGCUGGCUUGAUUUCACAAUCUUUCACAGCCUAUUGUAAUAUACCACCCAUCUCAAACAAGGUCCCUGUCCAAGUGUGCUUUAAUGUUUUAUGAAAUCAGCUGCAAAUGUCAGGAUUUAAAAAUCCAAA
Molecule: long non-coding RNA, 839 nt
Filed under: Homo sapiens (human)
Lineage: Eukaryota; Metazoa; Chordata; Mammalia; Primates; Hominidae
Description: HSALNT0028538
Source: RNAcentral